UAGUCGCUAGCUCAACUGGCAGAGCGCGGAACUCCAAAUUCCGAGGUUCUAGGUUCAAGUCCUAGGCGGCUAGCCA
RNAcentral lists this transfer RNA (76 nucleotides) under Rhodanobacter sp. B04. RNAcentral describes it as "tRNA-Trp". It matches the Rfam family "tRNA". Rfam says of the family: Transfer RNA (tRNA) molecules are approximately 80 nucleotides in length. Their secondary structure includes four short double-helical elements and three loops (D, anti-codon, and T loops). The record is from RNAcentral. Lineage: Bacteria; Pseudomonadati; Pseudomonadota; Gammaproteobacteria; Lysobacterales; Rhodanobacteraceae.